This 343-nucleotide ribosomal RNA is filed under the name uncultured bacterium. RNAcentral describes it as "bacterial SSU rRNA". It matches the Rfam family "Bacterial small subunit ribosomal RNA", at positions 8 to 349 of the family's 1533-position model. The record is from RNAcentral.
AGAGUUUGAUCAUGGCUCAGGAUGAACGCUAGCUACAGGCUUAACACAUGCAAGUCGAGGGGCAGCAUGUUGGUUGCUUGCAACCAACGAUGGCGACCGGCGCACGGGUGAGUAACGCGUAUCCAACCUACCCUUGUCCAUCGGAUAACCCGUCGAAAGGCGGCCUAACACGAUAUGCGGUUCACAGCAGGCAUCUAACGUGAACGAAAUGUGAAGGAGAAGGAUGGGGAUGCGUCUGAUUAGCUUGUUGGCGGGUAACGCCACAAGGCUACGAUCAGUAGGGGUUCUGAGAGGAAGGUCCCCCANAUUGGAACUGAGACACGGUCCAAACUCCUAGGGAGCA